UUUGGAAGUAAAAGUCGUAACAAGGUCUCCGUUGGUGAACCAGCGGAGGGAUCAUUACCGAGUUUACAACUCCCAAACCCAAUGUGAACGUUACCAAACUGUUGCCUCGGCGGGAUCUCUGCCCCGGGUGCGUCGCAGCCCCGGACCAAGGCGCCCGCCGGAGGACCAACCAAAACUCUUAUUGUAUACCCCCUCGCGGGUUUUUUACUAUCUGAGCCAUCUCGGCGCCCCUCGUGGGCGUUUCGAAAAUGAAUCAAAACUUUCAACAACGGAUCUCUUGGUUCUGGCAUCGAUGAAGAACGCAGCGAAAUGCGAUAAGUAAUGUGAAUUGCAGAAUUCAGUGAAUCAUCGAAUCUUUGAACGCACAUUGCGCCCGCCAGUAUUCUGGCGGGCAUGCCUGUCCGAGCGUCAUUUCAACCCUCGAACCCCUCCGGGGGGUCGGCGUUGGGGAUCGGCCCUUUACGGGGCCGGCCCCGAAAUACAGUGGCGGUCUCGCCGCAGCCUCUCCUGCGCAGUAGUUUGCACACUCGCAUCGGGAGCGCGGCGCGUCCACAGCCGUUAAACACCCCAAACUUCUGAAAUGUUGACCUCGGAUCAGGUAGGAAUACCCGCUGAACUUAAGCAUAUCAAUAAGCGGAA
RNAcentral lists this unclassified non-coding RNA (639 nucleotides) under Trichoderma virens. RNAcentral's name for it is "sequence contains 18S rRNA gene, ITS1, 5.8S rRNA gene, ITS2". The stretch from base 258 to 411 matches the Rfam family "5.8S ribosomal RNA". Lineage: Eukaryota; Fungi; Ascomycota; Sordariomycetes; Hypocreales; Hypocreaceae. The record is from RNAcentral.